This is a non-coding RNA of Faecalibacterium prausnitzii SL3/3, 108 nucleotides long. NCBI's taxonomy places the organism in Bacteria, Bacillati, Bacillota, Clostridia, Eubacteriales, Oscillospiraceae. The record is from Rfam.
UUUUUGGGAUACUGGGCGCGGGUCCUCCUCCUCCGGCUGUUCUCCUUCACAGCUAUGACCCAUGCGCCGCACAGGCAGUGUCCCGCUUCGUGUGCAAAAGGGCUCGUC